GAUGAACGCUAGCGGGAGGCUUAACACAUGCAAGUCGAGCGGGAUUAGCAGCAAUGCUAUGAGAGCGGCGCACGGGUGCGUAACGCGUAUGCAACCUGCCUUAUGCCGGGGGAUAGCCCAUGGAAACGUGGAUUAAUACCCCAUAGAACUGGAGAGCCGCAUGGUAAUUUAGUUAAAACUGAGGUGGCAUAAGAUGGGCAUGCGUCUGAUUAGGUAGUUGGUAGGGUAACGGCCUACCAAGCCGACGAUCAGUAGGGGUCCUGAGAGGGUUACCCCCCACACUGGUACUGAGACACGGACCAGACUCCUACGGGAGGCAGCAGUGAGGAAUAUUGGUCAAUGGGCGAAGAGCCUGAAACCAGCCAUCCCGCGUGCAGGAUGACGGCCCUAUGGGUUGUAAACUGCUUUUUGUGCGAGAAAUAAUAUGCCUUACGAGUAGGGUAAUGAAGGUAUCGUACGAAUAAAGCAAUCGGCUAAACUCCGUGCCAGCAGCCGCGGUAAU
RNAcentral lists this ribosomal RNA (502 nucleotides) under uncultured bacterium. Its description in RNAcentral is "bacterial SSU rRNA". It matches the Rfam family "Bacterial small subunit ribosomal RNA", at positions 28 to 524 of the family's 1533-position model. The record is from RNAcentral.